GCAAACUUGGUCAUUUAGAGGAAGUAAAAGUCGUAACAAGGUCUCCGUAGGUGAACCUGCGGAAGGAUCAUUAUUGAAUUCACUCUUGAAGGCUGUUUGCUGGCUUUUUCUUUAAGCAUGUGCACGCUUUCAUCAGUCCUUUUCCCAACCCACCUGUGAACUUUCUGUAGACCUUUUGGAGAGAUAUCCUUUUUCCCCCUUGCAAAGAGGGGAAAUUGGUUGAGGGUUGCUGGCUGUAAAGGUUCAGCUUCACCUUGUAACAACAUCAUCAUCCAUUGGUCUAUGUUUUUACAUACACACACUAUGUUGUAGAAUGUUAGUUUGAAGGCUUUUCUGCCUUUUAACCUAAAUUACAACUUUCAACAACGGAUCUCUUGGCUCUCGCAUCGAUGAAGAACGCAGC
RNAcentral lists this unclassified non-coding RNA (403 nucleotides) under uncultured fungus. RNAcentral's name for it is "partial contains small subunit ribosomal RNA, internal transcribed spacer 1, and 5.8S ribosomal RNA". The stretch from base 1 to 73 matches the Rfam family "Eukaryotic small subunit ribosomal RNA", at positions 1759 to 1831 of the family's 1831-position model. Lineage: Eukaryota; Fungi. The record is from RNAcentral.